RNAcentral lists this long non-coding RNA (1330 nucleotides) under Anser brachyrhynchus (Pink-footed goose). RNAcentral describes it as "lncRNA (ENSABRG00000021572.1)". The record is from RNAcentral. Lineage: Eukaryota; Metazoa; Chordata; Aves; Anseriformes; Anatidae.
UUGAGAUGUGAUGCUGCAAUGACGCGUGUGGGUCUCUGCCCCACGCCUGGCUGAAGCCCUGCACCAGAGCACUUCCACGCCUGCCCCCUGCCCGUACCGAGGCUACAGACACCCAGCAAGCAUAACCCAAUCUUCACCAGCACUCCAUGCAUGCACAGUGAUUUGUUAAAUUUCUACAUAUGACACCUCCUUCCCCCAGCUCCCCUCCCCACUUCUCCUCAGCGUAGUUGAACUUUAAAGGGCCCAGGAGAAAAAAGAAAUAAGACUUUAAAUAAUUUAUUUUGGAGAAACAGUCAGUGAAGAGGAACAAAUAAUGUUUCACUAAAAGAAGCGGGACCUUUGACACUCCCCUUUUCGCUCAGGUACCUGAAGGCCUAGCCGGAUUGCAUUAGUGAAAUUUUCAUUUGAUGGCAUUUUAAUAUUCUGCCUUGAUGACUUUUUAGCAACAUUUACUUUCAGAGGUCUUGAGUGCUCCCUCGGAGGAAAUGAAACAUGUCAAAGCCCAUUACAAAAAUCAAAAUUUAAAUACCUCGGCCACGUUGGGGCUCACACACAAUCCCAUCAGCGCUUAAACUGAGGCUCACAACUACUCAUUCACUUGUUCAGUUGGUAAUGAGUACAUUUGAUGAAGCAUUCUGGGGUCAUGGAACAUACGUUAGUGAUCUAAACUUAACCCAUUGAUUGCUUAUACACUGAGGGGAGGGGGCAUUUUAUUGAAAUGUAAUGUUAGAAUAAUUUCCACCAGUGCUGAAAUAACUUUUUUUUUUUUUUUUUAACAAUUGCUUUGAUGAAUUGGAAUGUUAAUAAGCAUGAUGGGAGGGCUUUAUUUAAGGUGGGCAGGAAGGAGCCAAGCUAGGAAUACAGAGCAGUUAGCUGAGCUCUUCAGCCACUGAAAAGCAAGCACAAGACAAUACUGGGGCUCUCUCUCCUUAUUAAACUUGCAUUUGGACUUUCUUGGAAAUCUUCCCUGUUCUAUCAUCUGUUUUUUUUUUGGUUGGUUGGUUGGUUGGUUCAUACCAUUACUCUGAUUUACUCUUUUGUGUCUUUGUCUUGCCUCUCCAUCCAACCCUUCCUUAAGCUGACGUAUGUGCUCUUGCUUUGCACCUUGAGUGGUCAGAGAUAGGGCUACCAUCAGAAGCCAUUUUAAAGUAUAUAAUAUUUUAGUCUUAGCUGUGUCUAUUGUGCAUUGCUGUAAAAAGUGGUGAAACCAGGAGAGCCAGUACUUCAGGGUAAGGCAUCUCAGAGAUCUCCAGGCUAAUGUAGAUCUGAGGUGGUAAAUCAUAAAUUAUCAUGAGGGUGACCAGGUGAUUUGGGUCUGAAAGCUGCAAAA